CGCCGCCCUGCCGUCGUGCAGGCAUGCAGCCAGCCGUUUUGGAACCGAGCCCUCGGCGCAUUCCGCGCCGCUCCACCACACAGCGCCGGCAGCAGUUGCCUCAGGCCACCGGCGGCCCCAACCAACUUCUCCGCCGGGCUGCGACAGCGGUGGCUCGCCGCGCAGUGUGAGGAAUGAGGAUAAUGGAUCGCUUGGCUUAGCCUCAUGAUGCUGUCUGUAACAUCUGGUGUGGUUUGCUGUAUGGUGCUACAGGUUGCAGGCUCAAAUCAUACAUUUGAGGCAGGAACUGUUGGACCGCACAUGCUUUAAACCCAGAAAGUUGUGCUCCUUCAUUCUGGGUGUUGCUCAGUAACAUAGACACUGCUUUAAAUGCUUUGUUGAAGGUCUGUGCAUUCUUUUCUGACCAGAUGUUCCAUAUUAACAACAUGACAACAAUUUUCCAGCCUGACCUGUAAUCCUUCAGAACCAGAAGCUUUGAUCCACUGCCAGACCACCAGAGCAAUGCAGCUAAAGUGAUUAACUGAUUAUAUUCUGGCGUCUGCUGAAUUCCUCGCCACAAGUUGAUUUCUUUGAAAAUUUACUUGGAAUAGGAGCAUCGAAGAACCAGAUUGUCAGCGGUGUGACAUUCAUUGUAUAGCUCAAUAGAAAAAGAUUGCGCUCCAUGGGGUUCCAGCUCGGUGUUGAAUGGAAAAGAAAAUGACAGUCAAUCCGAAGAGCAGUAGUGCUCUAGUUUUGUUUGUGCAAGUUUUGCGCGCAGAGCUUCCGUUCCAUGGAUACAGUGUCGCCAUAACGGACUAGAACACGGCUGUUGUCGUUGUCGCCAGUUUCUGAAUGAGAUCUUCAGUUCAACGCUGUCAGACCAGAACAAGGUGGACGUGCCGGGGCCGUCAGCCUGUACACGGCCUUGAAAGCGUCCAACUGUACUGGGAAUGUCGCAGGUAGGUCGCUCUCGCUCAGACGCUGAUGCAGGUGCGAACAGAUAAAAAAACAAUUUAUAUUUAGAGCACAGUUGAUUUUCUUUUGUCCUGUAUGUAUGAUUAUAUCCGUGUAACUUGGAACCCGUGGAAAUGCCCAUGUAUUUUUAAUGCAACGUUCCAUCGCAAUAAAUUACGAAAUAUUUGU
Long non-coding RNA from Setaria italica (foxtail millet), 1122 nucleotides. RefSeq lists it as uncharacterized. Lineage: Eukaryota; Viridiplantae; Streptophyta; Magnoliopsida; Poales; Poaceae. The transcript is spliced from 5 exons. The record is from RefSeq and is a predicted model, not a curated record.